CGUUGGACAGGCACCCUCUGAGGGGAAGCUACAAGGCUUAACGGCUUUGAGCGUCAAGAGGACACCGAGGCGUGGUCCUCCGGGGUCCAGAGAGUCCGGAAUUGGGGAGCGGAGCCUCCCAGAGGCAGAGCACUUCCGCCGGCGCUCGCGGACGGCCUCCUCCCUUUCACAAGGGACACCUGGAGACCAGCACUGUGUGGCACUCCGUGGGCACCCUCACGGCUCUUCCUGUUCCAGCCCCGAGGUGCCUUCUCAGACCGCAGACCCAGACCUCCAAGACAUAGAGGAAGCGGAGAUCACCAGAGACACCUGGCUUGACUCUGGGUGGGAGCCCCCGAGAAGCCUCCAGCCUCUCUCUGCUCCUGCAGUCGUGGAGAUGGGCUGGAGCCCUCAGACGGAAGGGCACCGAGGGGCCUCUUGAAGAGCCUUCCCGGCAUGUCUAAGUGUGGAGACAGCGUUGGCCAGGAAUGUAGCUUGGAGCAGCCAGCAGGCUUGCCUCCAGGAGCCAUGCCCUGCUCUCAGAAAAGAGACACUUGGCACAUGGCACUCUUGCCCCAGGGAGCCCCAGGGACAGAGGGUAGCGCCAAGAAGAACUGCUGAACUGGGCAAUAGUUUGGGUCGAGACUGCCGGCAGAGAGGCCCAUAGGGCACCAAGGCACACCUCUGUGAGGCCUGUGGUAAGAGCUUCGAGUACAACUCUCUUCUGCUAAAGCACCGGCGCAUCCACACAGGGGAGAAGCCCUACGCCUGCCACGAGUGCCACAAGGACUUCGGGAGCUGGUGGGGCUUCAUGCAGCACCUCCAUGUCCACACAGGCGAGAAGCCCUAUGAGUGCGGCCAGGCCUUCAGCCAGAGCUCACACUUCACAGAGCACUUGCGCAUACACAACAGCGAGAAGCCCUCCAAGUGUGGCGAAUGUGGUCACGCCUUCAGCCAGAGCUCCAGCCUGGUGCGCCACCAGCGGCUGCACACGAGGGAAAAGGAAAAGCCGGAUGUCUGCAGCCAGUUGCUGCAAGGUCUUCACCUGGGGCUCAGUGCUCAUAGAACACCAGCGCUUCUCGCCCUACGCCCUACGGGUAUGAAGACUGCAGCAAGGCCUUCCUAGGACAGUCGCACUUCUUCCGGCACUUAGGGACCCACACGGGUGAGAAACCCUUCAGCUGUGACAGCUGUGGCAAAGCUUUUGGCCAGAGCUAUCAGCUCAUCCAGCACCAGAGGGUGCGCUACUGCGAGUAGCACUCACCCCAAUAAAGUUUGAGUAAACCUGCUCCUACCGAGUGAGAUGGAGAUGCUUUACGGGGACCCGGCAGGACAUGUCCUGUGUCCAGGUGUGAUGGCCAAAGAAACUCCAUUUCAUGGUAGGUAUUCAGCUUGGAACCCACUAGCCACUUCUCUCUGACUCCAGUUCCUGGAAGAUCCCAGUAACCCUGACUCUGUGAUUCCUACCCAAAAAUGUAUAGCCAUGGCCAUCUAUUUGUUAUGACAUGACUGCUUUUUUGGCAUAUGCAGAUAUUCAAGGCCUAUUUUGAGGUCGUCCCUGACUACCUAACCUUGGCAGAGCAGCACAGCUCCUGGCUUGCUUGUGCAGACACUCAGUGUGGGUUUUGCCAUGACAAAUCCUUCCCUCACCCCUCCACACAGCAGUCUCUAGUUUGCCUCAGAGACUGGUGUCCUUCUAGUGGUUUCAAUAAAUUUAGCUA
RNA transcript from Mus pahari (shrew mouse), 1700 nucleotides. RefSeq lists it as uncharacterized. The transcript has 4 exons. Lineage: Eukaryota; Metazoa; Chordata; Mammalia; Rodentia; Muridae. The record is from RefSeq and is a predicted model, not a curated record.